RNAcentral lists this ribosomal RNA (1099 nucleotides) under Fusarium solani. RNAcentral's name for it is "eukaryotic LSU rRNA". The stretch from base 485 to 1099 matches the Rfam family "Eukaryotic large subunit ribosomal RNA", at positions 1 to 639 of the family's 3401-position model. The record is from RNAcentral. Lineage: Eukaryota; Fungi; Ascomycota; Sordariomycetes; Hypocreales; Nectriaceae.
CCGGCGGGUGACGCGGAGGGACAUUACCGAGUUUACAACUCCCAAACCCCUGUGAACAUACCUAUACGUUGCCUCGGCGGAUCAGCCCGCGCCCUGUAAAACGGGACGGCCCGCCCGAGGACCCUAAACUCUGUUUUUAGUGGAACUUCUGAGUAAAACAAACAAAUAAAUCAAAACUUUCAACAACGGAUCUCUUGGUUCUGGCAUCGAUGAAGAACGCAGCAAAAUGCGAUAAGUAAUGUGAAUUGCAGAAUUCAGUGAAUCAUCGAAUCUUUGAACGCACAUUGCGCCCGCCAGUAUUCUGGCGGGCAUGCCUGUUCGAGCGUCAUUUCAACCCUCAAGCUCAGCUUGGUGUUGGGACUCGCGGUAACCCGCGUUCCCCAAAUCGAUUGGCGGUCACGUCGAGCUUCCAUAGCGUAGUAAUCAUACACCUCGUUACUGGUAAUCGUCGCGGCCACGCCGUUAAACCCCAACUUCUGAAUGUUGACCUCGGAUCAGGUAGGAAUACCCGCUGAACUUAAGCAUAUCAAUAAGCGGAGGAAAAGAAACCAACAGGGAUUGCCCUAGUAACGGCGAGUGAAGCGGCAACAGCUCAAAUUUGAAAUCUGGCUCUCGGGCCCGAGUUGUAAUUUGUAGAGGAUGCUUUUGAUGCGGUGCCUUCCGAGUUCCCUGGAACGGGACGCCAUAGAGGGUGAGAGCCCCGUCUGGUUGGAUGCCAAAUCUCUGUAAAGCUCCUUCGACGAGUCGAGUAGUUUGGGAAUGCUGCUCUAAAUGGGAGGUAUAUGUCUUCUAAAGCUAAAUACCGGCCAGAGACCGAUAGCGCACAAGUAGAGUGAUCGAAAGAUGAAAAGCACUUUGAAAAGAGAGUUAAAAAGUACGUGAAAUUGUUGAAAGGGAAGCGUUUAUGACCAGACUUGGGCUUGGUUAAUCAUCUGGGGUUCUCUCCAGUGCACUUUUCCAGUCCAGGCCAGCAUCAGUUUUCGCCGGGGGAUAAAGGCUUCGGGAAUGUGGCUCUCUCCGGGGAGUGUUAUAGCCCGUUGCGUAAUACCCUGGCGGGGACUGAGGUUCGCGCAUCUGCAAGGAUGCUGCGUAAGGCCCC